GGGGAUGUAGCUCAAUAGAGUGUUAAUCUAUGCAUGAUAAAGGUACAUGGUUCAACUCCUUGCAUCUCCA
Molecule: transfer RNA, 70 nt
Filed under: Setaria italica (foxtail millet)
Lineage: Eukaryota; Viridiplantae; Streptophyta; Magnoliopsida; Poales; Poaceae
Also listed under: 1 other name
Rfam family: tRNA
About the family: Transfer RNA (tRNA) molecules are approximately 80 nucleotides in length.
Source: Rfam by way of RNAcentral